CAAGACUUUGCCUGCUGUGAUAAGGAAUUUCCAGUACAUGAGAGUGCACUCACUUCCUUGUCCUCUAGGACAAUACUAAGAUUUAGACACAUUCUUAGCAUCUGUGGUGAAAUAUGAAUGAACAAUAACAACAAGUCCCUAAGGAUCGAAAACAAAUCGUAUAUCCUAUGACAGGUUUCCCAACAAAAUAUGCCACUUACAUUCAGAAUAUUGCAGAAGAAGUCAUGCAGAGAAUGAGUUUUGGAGAUAUUCAAUCCUAGAAUCCAGCAUGGUCUCAUUCUUUCACCAGGCUUCGAGGGGAGAGGGACCAACAAGAAUGUAGUUCUGGAGUGAUGGCCAGAUUUGGGCAUGGAGAUACAAGAAGUCUGGAAUGGGGUGCUGAGACACACUGGUAACCGGUUCUGAUAAUGUUUUCAAUCCUAAAUAUGCAAUCAUAUAAAAACAAAGCAAUCCAAUAAAAGUGUUUGGGUAGCAGUAGCUGAGCCUUG
This 488-nucleotide long non-coding RNA is filed under the name Equus caballus (horse). Its description in RNAcentral is "lncRNA (ENSECAG00000058178.1)". Lineage: Eukaryota; Metazoa; Chordata; Mammalia; Perissodactyla; Equidae. The record is from RNAcentral.